RNAcentral lists this ribosomal RNA (543 nucleotides) under uncultured bacterium. RNAcentral's name for it is "bacterial SSU rRNA". It matches the Rfam family "Bacterial small subunit ribosomal RNA", at positions 355 to 896 of the family's 1533-position model. The record is from RNAcentral.
UGAGGAAUAUUGGUCAAUGGGCGAGAGCCUGAACCAGCCAAGUAGCGUGCAGGACGACGGCCCUAUGGGUUGUAAACUGCUUUUGUAUGGGGAUAAAGUCAAUCACGUGUGAUUGUUUGCAGGUACCAUACGAAUAAGGACCGGCUAAUUCCGUGCCAGCAGCCGCGGUAAUACGGAAGGUCCAGGCGUUAUCCGGAUUUAUUGGGUUUAAAGGGAGCGUAGGCCGUGGAUUAAGCGUGUUGUGAAAUGUAGACGCUCAACGUCUGAAUUGCAGCGCGAACUGGUUCACUUGAGUAUGCACAACGUAGGCGGAAUUCGUCGUGUAGCGGUGAAAUGCUUAGAUAUGACGAAGAACUCCGAUUGCGAAGGCAGCUUACGGGAGCACAACUGACGCUGAAGCUCGAAGGUGCGGGUAUCAAACAGGAUUAGAUACCCUGGUAGUCCGCACAGUAAACGAUGGAUGCCCGUUGUUAGUUCACUUAUGAAUUAGCGACCAAGCGAAAGCAUUAAGCAUCCCACCUGGGGAGUACGCCGGCAACGGUG